RNAcentral lists this ribosomal RNA (271 nucleotides) under uncultured bacterium. RNAcentral describes it as "partial 16S ribosomal RNA". It matches the Rfam family "Bacterial small subunit ribosomal RNA", at positions 524 to 794 of the family's 1533-position model. The record is from RNAcentral.
UACGAAGGGUGCAAGCGUUAAUCGGAAUUACUGGGCGUAAAGCGCGCGUAGGUGGUUCAGCAAGUUGGGUGUGAAAUCCCCGGGCUCAACUCGGGAACUGCGCCCAAAACCAUUAAGCUUGAGUACCAGAUGGGUACGUGGAAUUCCCAGUGUAGCAGUGAAAUGCGUAGAUAUUGGGAGGAACACCGGUGGUGAAGACGACGUACUGGAUGGUCACUGACGCUGAGAGGCGAAAGCGUGGGUAGCAAACAGGAUUAGAUACCCCAGUAGU